RNAcentral lists this ribosomal RNA (1259 nucleotides) under metagenome. RNAcentral describes it as "bacterial LSU rRNA". It matches the Rfam family "Bacterial large subunit ribosomal RNA", at positions 1680 to 2925 of the family's 2925-position model. The record is from RNAcentral.
UCUAAGGCGCUUGAGAGAACUCAGGAGAAGGAACUCGGCAAAUUUGCACCGUAACUUCGGGAAAAGGUGCGCCCUGAUAGGUUGUAGCCCCUCGCGGGUGAAGGCUGAAAGGGUUGCAGUGAAAUGGUGGCUGCGACUGUUUAAUAAAAACACAGCACUCUGCAAACACGAAAGUGGACGUAUAGGGUGUGACGCCUGCCCGGUGCCGGAAGGUUAAGUGAUGGGGUGCAAGCUCUUGAUCGAAGCCCCGGUAAACGGCGGCCGUAACAAUAACGGUCCUAAGGUAGCGAAAUUCCUUGUCGGGUAAGUUCCGACCUGCACGAAUGGCGUAACGAUGGCCACACUGUCUCCUCCUGAGACUCAGCGAAGUUGAAGUGGUUGUGAAGAUGCAAUCUCCCCGCGGUUAGACGGAAAGACCCCAUGAACCUUUACUGUAGCUUUGCAUUGGACUUUGAACCGACUUGUGUAGGAUAGGUGGGAGGCUGUGAAGCCGGGACGCUAGUUCUGGUGGAGCCAACCUUGAAAUACCACCCUGGUUUGUUUGAGGUUCUAACCACGGCCCGUGAAUCCGGGUCUGGGACCGUGCAUGGUAGGCAGUUUGACUGGGGCGGUCUCCUCCUAAAGUGUAACGGAGGAGUACGAAGGUACGCUAGGUACGGUCGGACAUCGUGCUAAUAGUGCAAUGGCAAAAGCGUGCUUGACUGCGAGACCCACACGUCGAGCAGGUACGUAAGUAGGUCAUAGUGAUCCGGUGGUUCUGUAUGGAAGGGCCAUCGCUCAACGGAUAAAAGGUACUCUGGGGAUAACAGGCUAAUACCGCCCAAGAGUUCAUAUCGACGGCGGUGUUUGGCACCUCGAUGUCGGCUCAUCACAUCCUGGGGCUGUAGUCGGUCCCAAGGGUAUGGCUGUUCGCCAUUUAAAGUGGUACGUGAGCUGGGUUUAAAACGUCGUGAGACAGUUUGGUCCCUAUCUGCCGUGGGCGCUGGAAAUUUGAAGGGGGCUGCUCCUAGUACGAGAGGACCGGAGUGGACGAACCUCUGGUGUACCGGUUAUGACGCCAGUCGUAUUGCCGGGUAGCUAAGUUCGGAAGAGAUAAACGCUGAAAGCAUCUAAGCGUGAAACUCGCCUUAAGAUGAGAUUUCCCUGGGGACUUGAUCCCCCUGAAGGGUCGUGGUAGACCACCACGUUGAUAGGCUGGGUGUGGAAGCGCAGCAAUGCGUUAAGCUAACCAGUACUAAUUGCCCGUGAGGCUUGAUCCC